RNAcentral lists this long non-coding RNA (661 nucleotides) under Homo sapiens (human). RNAcentral's name for it is "non-protein coding LRRC8C-DT:34". The record is from RNAcentral. Lineage: Eukaryota; Metazoa; Chordata; Mammalia; Primates; Hominidae.
GCCACCGCCCGCCGAGUCGACUCCGCGGUGCCAGCCCCGCUGUGACGCAGGCCGCGCCGCCCGGGAACUUCCUCCCCUGCAGAGACCACCUCGCUCCCGGGACUCGCCAGCGAGGGAUGCCGCCGGCCGCCGGGGGCCUUCUCCAGGACCAGGAGAGAAAUCCUCUCUCCGCUUCACGACGCGGCCACUCCCACCCCUGAGACGCCCACCUGGCGGACUCUGAGGGAGGAUUCGGCUGCGUCUAAUACCACCUCCACCCCUCAUCCCUCACAAUGCGCGGAAAACCACAGGCGGCUGUGCGCGCAGCGUCGGCUCAGCCACCGCAGCUCCUCCCCUGGGAUGAAAAAGCACUCUGACGUCUUGAAAGCUGGCAGCUCUCUGUUUGGAAAAUCUCUGCCCAGUGAAAAAAUGUACCGACAAGAUUACUAAGUAACACAGUCUUCUGGGAAUGCCUUAUCAAUGCCAGCUAUUUGAAGAGCACCCAAAGUCAAACUAGUGCUCCGCGCUGGCAGUCUGGAAAAGGCAGAUAUGAGAAAACUGAGCUGUAGAAAGGUUGCCUGACUUGUCUAAGAUAACACAGCUGGGAAGUUGAGGAGGCAGGUCUGACUGGUAUAAAAAACUCCAGCCCAGUGACUUCCAUACUACAAAAUGGACAAAAGAG